This 464-nucleotide ribosomal RNA is filed under the name uncultured bacterium. Its description in RNAcentral is "partial 16S ribosomal RNA". It matches the Rfam family "Bacterial small subunit ribosomal RNA", at positions 29 to 507 of the family's 1533-position model. The record is from RNAcentral.
ACGAACGCUGGCGGCGUGCUUAACACAUGCCAGUCGAACGGAAAGGCCCCUUUGGGGGUACUCGAGUGGCGAACGGGUGAGUAACACGUGAGGAACCUGCCCUUGACUUCGGGAUAACUUCAGGAAACUGGGGCUAAUACCGGAUAGGAAUCCUUGCUGCAUGGUGGGGGUUGGAAAGCUUCGGCGGUUUUGGAUGGACUCGCGGCUUAUCAGCUUGUUGGUGGGGUAGUGGCUUACCAAGGCUUUGACGGGUAGCCGGCCUGAGAGGGCGACCGGCCACAUUGGGACUGAGAUACGGCCCAGACUCCUACGGGAGGCAGCAGUGGGGAAUAUUGCACAAUGGGCGGAAGCCUGAUGCAGCAACGCCGCGGGCGGGAUGACGGCCUUCGGGUUGUAAACCGCUUUCAGCAGGGGCGAAGCUUGUGGUGACGGUACCUGCAGAAGAAGCACCGGCUAACUACGUG